RNAcentral lists this small nuclear RNA (107 nucleotides) under Vulpes vulpes (red fox). Lineage: Eukaryota; Metazoa; Chordata; Mammalia; Carnivora; Canidae. The record is from RNAcentral.
GUGCUUGCUUUGGCAGCACAUUUACUAAAAUUGGGAUGAUACAGAGAUGAUUAGUGUGGCCCCUACACAAAGAUGAUAUGCAAAUUUGUGAAGCAUCCCAUAUUUUA